UACAGAGGUCCCAAGCGUUGUUCGGAUUCACUGGGCGUAAAGGGUGCGUAGGCGGUCGGGUAAGUCUGAUGUGAAAUCUCACAGCUUAACUGUGAAACUGCAUUGGAUACUAUCCGGCUAGAGGAAUGUAGGGGAGACUGGAAUACUUGGUGUAGCAGUGAAAUGCGUAGAUAUCAAGUGGAACACCAGUGGCGAAGGCGAGUCUCUGGACAUUUCCUGACGCUGAGGCACGAAAGCCAGGGGAGCAAACGGG
Molecule: ribosomal RNA, 253 nt
Filed under: uncultured bacterium
Lineage: Bacteria
Description: partial 16S ribosomal RNA
Rfam family: Bacterial small subunit ribosomal RNA
Source: RNAcentral